Molecule: transfer RNA, 89 nt
Filed under: Danio rerio (zebrafish)
Lineage: Eukaryota; Metazoa; Chordata; Actinopteri; Cypriniformes; Danionidae
Rfam family: tRNA
About the family: Transfer RNA (tRNA) molecules are approximately 80 nucleotides in length. Their secondary structure includes four short double-helical elements and three loops (D, anti-codon, and T loops). Further hydrogen bonds mediate the characteristic L-shaped molecular structure. tRNAs have two regions of fundamental functional importance: the anti-codon, which is responsible for specific mRNA codon recognition, and the 3' end, to which the tRNAs corresponding amino acid is attached (by aminoacyl-tRNA synthetases). tRNAs cope with the degeneracy of the genetic code in two manners: having more than one tRNA (with a specific anti-codon) for a particular amino acid; and 'wobble' base-pairing, i.e. permitting non-standard base-pairing at the 3rd anti-codon position.
Source: Rfam by way of RNAcentral
GGCUCUGUGGCGCAAUGGAUAGCGCAUUGGACUUCUAGGCUGUGAGCUGAGCCAUUCAAAGGUUGUGGGUUCGAGCCCCACCAGAGUCG